RNAcentral lists this transfer RNA (85 nucleotides) under Felis catus (domestic cat). It matches the Rfam family "tRNA". From Rfam's summary of the family: Transfer RNA (tRNA) molecules are approximately 80 nucleotides in length. The record is from Rfam by way of RNAcentral. Lineage: Eukaryota; Metazoa; Chordata; Mammalia; Carnivora; Felidae.
GCCUGGGUGGCUCAGUCGGUUAAGCGUCUGACUUCGGCUCAGGUCACGAUCUCACGGUUCGUGGGUUUGAGCCCCAUGUCAGGCU